This 253-nucleotide ribosomal RNA is filed under the name uncultured bacterium. RNAcentral's name for it is "partial 16S ribosomal RNA". It matches the Rfam family "Archaeal small subunit ribosomal RNA", at positions 474 to 727 of the family's 1478-position model. The record is from RNAcentral.
UACCAGCACCCCGAGUGGUCGGGACGAUUAUUGGGCCUAAAGCAUCCGUAGCCGGUUCUACAAGUCUUCCGUUAAAUCCAUCUGCUUAACAGAUGGGCUGCGGAGGAUACUAUGGAGCUAGGAGGCGGGAGAGGCAAGCGGUACUUAGUGGGUAGGGGUAAAAUCCGUUGAUCCAUUGAAGACCACCAGUGGCGAAGGCGGCUUGCCAGAACGCACUCGACGGUGAGGGAUGAAAGCUGGGGGAGCAAACCGG